This 492-nucleotide ribosomal RNA is filed under the name uncultured bacterium. RNAcentral's name for it is "partial 16S ribosomal RNA". It matches the Rfam family "Bacterial small subunit ribosomal RNA", at positions 29 to 507 of the family's 1533-position model. The record is from RNAcentral.
AGUGAACGCUGGCGGUAGGCCUAACACAUGCAAGUCGAACGACAGCACAGUAAGAGCUUGCUCUUACGGGUGGCGGGUGGCGGACGGGUGAGGAAUACACCGGAAUCUACUUUUUCGUGGGGGAUAACGUAGGGAAACUUACGCUAAUACCGCAUACGACCUACGGGUGAAAGCAGGGGAUCUUCGGACCUUGCGCGAUUGAAUGAGCCGACGUCGGAUUAGCUAGUUGGCGGGGUAAAGGCCCACCAAGACGACGAUCCGUAGCCUGUCCGUGAGGAUGAUCAGCCACACUACCACACUGACACGCUCCAGACUCCUGCGGGAGGCCGCAGUGUGGAAUAUUGGACAAUGGGCGCACGCCUGCUCCAACCAUACCGCCUAUGUGAAGAAGGCCUUCGCGUUGUACAGCCCUUUUAUUGGGAAAGAACAGUAGCAGGUUGAUACCCCGCUGUUCUGUCGCUACCCAGAUAAUACGCCCCGGCUCACUUCGUG